AUGUAACAAGGUUGAGGACCUCGUUAGGGGACAGAGGUACUGAACAGAGGUACACUGUAAGAAAUGUAGUAAACAGCGUAAUACAUUCACUCAACAGACACACAAUCACCAAAAAGGUUAUAAAACUACAGCUUCAGCUUUUCUUUGCUCAAGUGUUCAAGUCUCGUCUUGUUGACUCUUGAAUUUGUAUAAACAUCUGCUUUAAUCUCUCUGUGUCUCUGUGUCUCUGUGUGUGUGUGUGUGUGUGUGUGUGUGUGUCUCAGUUCAUGCCCUCUGGUGGUUCGAGAACGCUGACCAGCGAGCUGAAGUUCGACACAAAGCUCAUACUGACGCCCGAGUGGUCGCUGCAGUCAGAAACUGUGUCAUCCAUCUGGACUCUCAGGAGAACAAACUCAUGUUCCCUUGUUCCUUCUCUCCGCUGAAGUAACUUCCUGAGUCUCCACUUCCUGUGUCUCCACGGCCACAAAGACAAACACUGUUAAAACUUACUUUGUCCUCUGUGGGCCUCCGUAGCGUUAUGAUGAAUCCCACUGCUUUUCUCGGUAAGUUGCGCUUUGAUUGGUUAAUGAGCUAUUCUGACCCCAACAACCGGAGCUCAAUGCAAUCCAAUCCAAUCGUCUGCCUCCACCGGCCACACAGGGGGCGGGGCUUACCAAGAAGAGCAGUGGGGUCCGUAGUUACAGCAGGAAGUGAGUUAAAUAAAUAUGUAAUAAUGAUGAAAAAUAAAAGCAUUAAUAAAUCCAA
Long non-coding RNA from Anarrhichthys ocellatus (wolf-eel), 744 nucleotides. RefSeq lists it as uncharacterized. The record is from RefSeq and is a predicted model, not a curated record. The transcript is spliced from 2 exons. NCBI's taxonomy places the organism in Eukaryota, Metazoa, Chordata, Actinopteri, Perciformes, Anarhichadidae.